CGUCGCAGCGCGGCCACACGCUGCCUCUCCUCCUCCAAUAGGAGCAGCCUCUUCCCGUCCUUGUCCAAUAAGGACGGCUGCAGCAGCUGCUGGCCACACCCAUCCGCCACCAUGGCCGCCUGACUCUGAGGAAACAGGAUCAGGUAAUCACUCAUGGAGUGAUCCAAUUGGACAACACUCACACAGGCCUGGGCUCUGAGGUACUCGCUGUGUUCCCUGCUGUAUUUCUCCUGAAGUCGUGUCUUCAACUCGUCUUUACGAGGAAAAGCCACUUCCUGAAGUUUCUUAAGAGACAAAGACAAAUCCAAAGAAAUCUUUGGAGAGUCUUAAGAUGUCUGAAGACAGUGUGAUGGUCACCUGACAUCGGGGACAGUCCCUGGACAUCCGGCACCAGAUGCCCCGCGACCAUCCCCAGACGCUCAGAUAUCCAGACUCUGGUGCUUUCAGGUUCACGUACCUGUAUGAGGUGCAUAAUGUUCACAGCAGCAUUGUGUCCAUGUGCAUCCUCCAUGUGU
Molecule: long non-coding RNA, 515 nt
Organism: Acanthopagrus latus (yellowfin seabream)
Lineage: Eukaryota; Metazoa; Chordata; Actinopteri; Spariformes; Sparidae
Exons: 3
Source: RefSeq, a predicted model, not a curated record